CAGCCGCCGCGGUAAUACGUAGGUGGCAAGCGUUAUCCGGAAUUACUGGGUGUAAAGGGAGCGUAGACGGUUAAACAAGUCUGAAGUGAAAUGCCGGGGCUCAACCCCGGAGCUGCUUUGGGAACUGUAGAACUGGAGUGUCGGAGGGGUAAGCGGAAUUCCCAGUGUAGCGGUGAAAUGCGUAGAUAUUGGGAGGAACACCGGCGGCGAAGGCGGCUUACUGGACGACAACUGACGUUGAGGCUCGAAGGCGUGGGUAGCAAACAGGAUCAGAUACCCGCGUAGUCCCUGUCUCUUAUAC
Molecule: ribosomal RNA, 301 nt
Filed under: uncultured bacterium
Lineage: Bacteria
Description: partial 16S ribosomal RNA
Rfam family: Bacterial small subunit ribosomal RNA
Source: RNAcentral